CAACCCUUACGCCCUGUAGCGUAGUGUUGGGAAUCUACCGACAGGUAGUUCCUCAAAUCGAUUGGCGGCGUUAGUGCAUACUCUAAGCGUAGUAAUACCAUUCUCGCUUCGGCAGUAGUGCUGACGGCUGGCCACUAAACCCCCUAUACUUCUAGU
This 156-nucleotide unclassified non-coding RNA is filed under the name uncultured Hypoxylon. Its description in RNAcentral is "sequence contains ITS2". The record is from RNAcentral. Lineage: Eukaryota; Fungi; Ascomycota; Sordariomycetes; Xylariales; Xylariaceae.